CCUACGGGAGGCAGCAGUAAGGAAUAUUGGACAAUGGGCGAAAGCCUGAUCCAGCCAUGCCGCGUGAAGGAUUAAGGUCCUCUGGAUUGUAAACUUCUUUUAUGUGGGACGAAAAAAGGGCAUUCUUGCUCACUUGACGGUACCAUUUGAAUAAGCACCGGCUAACUCCGUGCCAGCAGCCGCGGUAAUACGGAGGGUGCAAGCGUUAUCCGGAUUCACUGGGUUUAAAGGGUGCGUAGGCGGGUAGGUAAGUCAGUGGUGAAAUCUCGAAGCUUAACUUCGAAACUGCCAUUGAUACUAUCUAUCUUGAAUAUUGUGGAGGUUUGCGGAAUAUGUCAUGUAGCGGUGAAAUGCUUAGAUAUGACAUAGAACACCGAUUGCGAAGGCAGCAGGCUACACAUAUAUUGACGCUGAGGCACGAAAGCGUGGGGAUCAAACAGGAUUAGAUACCCUGGUAGUCCACGCCCUAAACGAUGAUACUCGACAUACGCGAUACACUGUGUGUGUGUGNGNGAAGAGAUAAGUAAUACACCGUUGGAGUACGUUCGCGAGAGAGAGACAANAGAGUUAGACGGCGNGAGAGNGCGACGGACGACGACGAGGAGUUAG
RNAcentral lists this ribosomal RNA (609 nucleotides) under uncultured bacterium. RNAcentral describes it as "bacterial SSU rRNA". It matches the Rfam family "Bacterial small subunit ribosomal RNA", at positions 338 to 953 of the family's 1533-position model. The record is from RNAcentral.